UGGUUGUGGCUAAAUGGUAGAGCACUCACUUUACAAGUGAGAGGUAGGGGGAUCAAACCUCACUACCACCAAC
Molecule: transfer RNA, 73 nt
Filed under: Helianthus annuus (common sunflower)
Lineage: Eukaryota; Viridiplantae; Streptophyta; Magnoliopsida; Asterales; Asteraceae
Description: tRNA-Val
Rfam family: tRNA
About the family: Transfer RNA (tRNA) molecules are approximately 80 nucleotides in length. Their secondary structure includes four short double-helical elements and three loops (D, anti-codon, and T loops). Further hydrogen bonds mediate the characteristic L-shaped molecular structure. tRNAs have two regions of fundamental functional importance: the anti-codon, which is responsible for specific mRNA codon recognition, and the 3' end, to which the tRNAs corresponding amino acid is attached (by aminoacyl-tRNA synthetases). tRNAs cope with the degeneracy of the genetic code in two manners: having more than one tRNA (with a specific anti-codon) for a particular amino acid; and 'wobble' base-pairing, i.e. permitting non-standard base-pairing at the 3rd anti-codon position.
Source: RNAcentral